Molecule: ribosomal RNA, 403 nt
Filed under: Verrucomicrobiota bacterium
Lineage: Bacteria; Pseudomonadati; Verrucomicrobiota
Description: Verrucomicrobia bacterium partial 16S ribosomal RNA
Rfam family: Bacterial small subunit ribosomal RNA
Source: RNAcentral
UGGGGAAUAUUGCACAAUGGGGGAAACCCUGAUGCAGCGACGCCGCGUGAGCGAAGAAGGUUUUCGAAUCGUAAAGCUCUGUCCUAUGAGAAGAUAAUGACGGUAUCAUAGGAGGAAGCCCCGGCUAAAUACGUGCCAGCAGCCGCGGUAAUACGUAUGGGGCGAGCGUUGUCCGGAAUUAUUGGGCGUAAAGGGUUCGCAGGCGGCAAUGCAAGUCAGAUGUAAAAGGCAAAGGCUCAACCUUUGUAAGCAUCUGAAACUGUAUAGCUUGAGAAGUGUAGAGGCAAGUGGAAUUUUUAGUGUAGCGGUGAAAUGCGUAGAUAUUAAAAAGAAUACCGGUGGCGAAGGCGACUUGCUGGGCACAAUCUGACGCUGAGGAACGAAAGCGUGGGGAGCAAACAGG